This 253-nucleotide ribosomal RNA is filed under the name uncultured bacterium. RNAcentral describes it as "partial 16S ribosomal RNA". It matches the Rfam family "Bacterial small subunit ribosomal RNA", at positions 524 to 776 of the family's 1533-position model. The record is from RNAcentral.
UACAGAGGUCCCGAGCGUUGUUCGGAUUCACUGGGCGUAAAGGGUGCGUAGGUGGUGAGGUAAGUCGGAUGUGAAAUCUCCGGGCUCAACCCGGAAAUGGCAUUGGAAACUACCUUGCUAGAGGAUUUGAGGGGGGAUUGGAAUACUUGGUGUAGCAGUGAAAUGCGUAGAUAUCAGGAGGAACACCGAUGGCGAAGGCAGGUCUCUGGGCAUUAACUGACGCUGAGGAGCGAAAGCAUGGGGAGCGAACAGG